GAUGAAGAACGCAGCGAAAUGCGAUAAGUAGUGUGAAUUGCAGAAUUCAGUGAAUCAUCGAAUCUUUGAACGCACAUUGCGCCCGCCAGUAUUCUGGCGGGCAUGCCUCCGAGCGUCAUUUCAACCCUCGAACCCCUCCGGGGGGUCGGCGUUGGGGAUCGGCCCUUUACGGGGCCGGCCCCGAAAUACAGUGGCGGUCUCGCCGCAGCCUCUCCUGCGCAGUAGUUUGCACACUCGCAUCGGGAGCGCGGCGCGUCCACAGCCGUUAAACACCCCAAACUUCUGAAAUGUUGACCUCGGAUCAGGUAGGAAUACCCGCUGAACUUAAGCAUAUCAAUAAGCGGAGGA
Molecule: unclassified non-coding RNA, 348 nt
Filed under: soil metagenome
Description: partial contains 5.8S ribosomal RNA, internal transcribed spacer 2, and large subunit ribosomal RNA
Rfam family: 5.8S ribosomal RNA (bases 1-118)
Source: RNAcentral